Molecule: transfer RNA, 69 nt
Filed under: Ictidomys tridecemlineatus (thirteen-lined ground squirrel)
Lineage: Eukaryota; Metazoa; Chordata; Mammalia; Rodentia; Sciuridae
Description: Spermophilus tridecemlineatus (thirteen-lined ground squirrel) tRNA
Rfam family: tRNA
About the family: Transfer RNA (tRNA) molecules are approximately 80 nucleotides in length. Their secondary structure includes four short double-helical elements and three loops (D, anti-codon, and T loops).
Source: Rfam by way of RNAcentral
GGGACUGUGGCUCCAUGGUAGAGCAUGCAUCUUGCAUGUGUGAGGCCCUGGGUUCGAUCCUCAGCACCA